GUCCACGCCGUAAACUAUGGACGCUAGCCGUUGGGUAGCUUGCUAUUCAGUGGCGCAGCUAACGCCUUAAGCGUCCCGCCUGGGGAGUACGGCCGCAAGGUUGAAACUCAAAGGAAUUGACGGGGGCCCGCACAAGCUGUGGAGCAUGUGGUUUAAUUCGACGCAACGCGCAGAACCUUACCAGGGUUUGACAUCCCAAGACCGCCUAUGAAAGUAGGUUUCCCCGCAAGGGGCUUGGAGACAGGUGCUGCAUGGCUGUCGU
Molecule: ribosomal RNA, 262 nt
Filed under: uncultured bacterium
Lineage: Bacteria
Description: partial 16S ribosomal RNA
Rfam family: Bacterial small subunit ribosomal RNA
Source: RNAcentral